GCCGGAAUGGUGGAAUUGGUAGACGCAGCGGACUCAAAAUCCGCCGGGGGCAACCCCUUGGGAGUUCGAGUCUCCCUUCCGGCACCA
This 87-nucleotide transfer RNA is filed under the name Desulfovibrio sp. Its description in RNAcentral is "tRNA-Leu". It matches the Rfam family "tRNA". From Rfam's summary of the family: Transfer RNA (tRNA) molecules are approximately 80 nucleotides in length. Lineage: Bacteria; Pseudomonadati; Thermodesulfobacteriota; Desulfovibrionia; Desulfovibrionales; Desulfovibrionaceae. The record is from RNAcentral.